RNAcentral lists this ribosomal RNA (468 nucleotides) under uncultured bacterium. RNAcentral describes it as "partial 16S ribosomal RNA". It matches the Rfam family "Bacterial small subunit ribosomal RNA", at positions 28 to 507 of the family's 1533-position model. The record is from RNAcentral.
GACGAACGCUGGCGGCGUGCUUAACACAUGCAAGUCGAACGGAAAGGCCCUGCUUUUGUGGGGUGCUCGAGUGGCGAAAGGGUGAGUAACACGUGAGUAACCUGCCCUUGACUUUGGGAUAACUUCAGGAAACUGGGGCUAAUACCGGAUAGGAGCUCCUGCUGCAUGGUGGGGGUUGGAAAGUUUCGGCGGUUGGGGAUGGACUCGCGGCUUAUCAGCUUGUUGGUGGGGUAGUGGCUUACCAAGGCUUUGACGGGUAGCCGGCCUGAGAGGGUGACCGGCCACAUUGGGACUGAGAUACGGCCCAGACUCCUACGGGAGGCAGCAGUGGGGAUUAUUGCACAAUGGGCGGAAGCCUGAUGCAGCAACGCCGCGUGCGGGAUGACGGCCUUCGGGUUGUAAACCGCUUUCGCCUGCGACGAAGCGUGAGUGACGGUAAUGGGUAAAGAAGCACCGGCUAACUACGUG